CACCUCACAAAACCCGUGAGGAACAUCCUCAGAAUCCUGGACCAAUGCAGAGGUCUUGCACAGAGCUGUAGAAAAACCGCCACGCUGAAGCUGAGGCAUAUUUGGUCCUCUUUAAGUGAAUACUGCACAAUAGAUCUGCUAGUCUAGAGCUUAACUAAAUACAUUGCUUUUAAUUUCAGGUUUUCUAAAGCUGGACGGGACUAUCGGUGCAGAUCCAGGAUGGCUGCCAGGUGGCCUGCUGUCUGCUUCUGCUCUGAAGGCAAACAGCUGAGGUGCUAGGAGGCAAAGUGAGAACUGUAAUGGAAAGCUGCCCUGCAUAAGGAAGUUGGUGUGUGCACUUUGCCUGGAUUUAUGUCUUAGUUUACUUCAGUUUAGCUCCUCAUGGCUUCCUAACAGUCUCAUUGGAUGCCAUUUUCCCACUGGAGCAGUUAUGGUAAGAAAGACCUCAGCUUCUGUGAAUUAAAGAUAGUACUCAGCCCGUUCUGCGUAUUAGUUCUAAGUAUAUGCGUAAGAAGAGGAUAAGUGUUUUGCAGGAAAUGUUGGGAGUCCUUUCUUCCUGUUAAAAGUAAAUUGGGGUUGCAGUCUCUCACAGCAUUUAAGGAUCAAACACAUGUCUUUUUAUUCCAUUUCUUCUUCCUGAGUUUUUCCAUGUAAAAAGAUCUAAUGUGGUUAUAUUGCCUUAUUCUGUUACUGUCUGUCUGCUUACAGGAAGCUGAUGUGGUUCAUUGCUCUUCUGUCUAUCCAGUAAGAAGCACUUUCGGUGCCACUCCAUGUACAGUGUGAAUCUUUGUUUAAAUAGUAUUGUCCUUUUGUAGGAAGAUUUCUUGAAAGUGAUCACUUAAUACUGCCCUAAUUCUUUAAAACUAACGAGUACAAGCUAGCAAAGCCCUCUCAUACAAACAGAUGGGAGCUACCACUAGGAAGCUUUGCCAGAUGUGGGCUUCUGAUGAGAAAGUUUUUCUGGAGUGAGUUCUGUCUAAGUGGGACAAAGUCAUGCCUGUGCUGCUGGGCUUAGUAGCUUGGGUUAUUGAAUCAAAGGUCCCCAUAUACUUCCCAUCACAAUAAACCUACCUGUCUAUCAUUCUGUCAUUUAUGGCACCUUUCUGUUAAAAUUUCUGGGGUUUUCUCCAGUCCUCUCACUAUUUAUCUGGCUAUGGAUAGUAUCCAAAGUGUAUUAAUUAAAGAAAAGAGUGUUCUUUUGUAAUCUCCAAGGGCUGGUUAUAAUUAAAAUAGGUGACUAAAAUUUACUGGCUUGUUGGCCGUAGUUUCCUGGGUUUAGGCAGGCCCUUGGUAGUAGCUAAUAAAUGUGGAAAAGCAUUAAUUAUUUUUCAUCUUUGGGCUUGAAUAUUCACAGUUGCACUCUGCUUUCCUUAUGAAUUUCCAUUCUAUAAAAUAUCUAGAAGUUGGCCCUUCAGUAGAAGAGGCAUACUGAUACAGAAAUAGCUGACCAAUUGCUUUCUUAACAUUUACAGGAAGUGCAAAGAAAUUAAAUCAUGAGCCUAAAAAAAGAAACACUCGCAUUUGUACCAGGUUGAAGGGUGGAACUAUUACGCUGCUUAUUGUAUGAACUUGGUCAUCCAAUCUGAAGGUAAUACCAACUAUAAACUCUGUAUGUUCCUCUUCAGUACUGUCAGGUUUGACUUCAAGUUCAGAGGGUGUUUUUGUGAGAGAAUGACUCCACUGUAAUUGUCUAAAUUGUUUUAUAAAACUUUUUGAGAAUAUCAGUUGCAUUGUUGUUUAAAUUGCUACAUUGGAAGGAAUAGCAAAUUGGAAUAUGAGUUAUCCUGAGAACCUGCAUUUGAAUUCAUGUGGGAGGUGUCAACUGUCUUUGAGUUCUGUAUACUAAUUCUAACAUAUUUUAUGAUGAAUGCAUAUUAUGGGUAAGAUAAAAAUAUUUUUUGCUGUGUAUGUAUUAGUUUUUUGUUGUCUUAAAAUGAAUGUCAUGUUUGAUGGCAUUACGGUAGAUAGUGUAUUGCUGCCACAAUGUUGUUUGAGUGAUCUCGACACAUUUGUAAUCAAAAAGCAUGCUACACUUGAAUGCACUGGCUUAAGGUUGUGUUUGUGAAAGACAGAAUGUCUUUCCAAUGUGUGGGUUGUAGUUCUUUUCAUUCUGUUUAAAAGCAUAUACAGACACUAAUUGUUCUGUCUGAAGAAAAUAUCUAUAAAUGCAGAUUUUUAGCAUUAUUAUUUUAUAUGAUAGAAGGAUUGUAAUAUGAUAAUAUGCAUAUCAAAUCUCGAUACUGAUACUAAUUUGUAAAGUUUGGGGUAGUGGGUUUUUUGUUGUUGAUGUUUUAAGAAGAGCAAUGUUUACAUGAUUUUCACUUCUGACCUAUGGGGAGCAGUUUUGUAUGAGACUUGGCAAAAUGGGGGAAAUCAGAUAAACAUGCUUUUGAAUAUUUCUAUUUGGGUUUUUUCUCAUGUCAGUAAAAGCUGGCAGAAAGCUCUAAUAAGUCAACCUACUUCAGAGCCUAAUUUAACUUAGUUUCAAGGUUGCAAGAUGUAUGAAUUGUUUGUAUUUUCCUGAAAACCUGUUUAUGACAUUGAAAUAGUUGUAAUUCUGCUAUGUUUUUCUCUUCGUUAGAAGUGUUGAAUAUUUUGGAGAAUUGGGUGACACAUUUUUUUUUCAUAGAUUCUAGAUAUGUCAGGUUAUUUUCUGAUAUUUUCUGUCUGUAACUUGUGAAGGUAUGUCCUAAACAUGAAAAGUUUUAUGCAGUUGCUUUUCCUUUUAUCUACAGAAGCUUUAAUUAUUUUUGAUUCCUUUAUCAAAGAAACUAAUUUCACAGACUAAAUUAAGACAAUAUAAUAUUUGGACGUUAAUACAUUCAUAAAAUGUUUCUUUAAAAUGUAUUUGAUAGCAUUUCAUGUGUUCCAUGGUGUGGAUUUUGAUUUUGCAUGUAGAUCCCUGUUAUACCUGUGUUACUUCUUCAGUUACUGGGAAGGGAAUUAUAUCCUAGUUUUGAGGAAUGUUAAUUUCUGUGCCUCCAUUGUCUGAAAGAUAAUUAGUAUCAAAAUACGGCUGAGUCGGCAGUCUGCUGUGGCUGUUCAGAGACAAGACUGUGAGUUUCUCUGUUAAUACUAAGCUAUGCAUUGUAAUAGGCUAUUUAAAAAAGACCUCCCACUUUGUAUCUUGAAAUUGCAAUACAGGUAAAUUUUAUCUACAUGGUUAAAAAUACAGCUCUGUAAGAAGUAACAUCUACUUGGUUUUGGUGCCAAGUAAAAUGACCUUAUUGCUCUGUGAGGUAAGGUUUUCCCUGCUGCGCUAUGCCACUGUUGCCAGAUACUGACUGACAGACGUUCUUUGCAAAUGCACAUCCUUGUUUACAAGGCAAUACUUGAUGACUAAGUAAACAAAAAUGCAGUGUAUUGAUGUAUGUAUUAGAAGAAAAAAAAAUCCUAAACUUAGUGUAGACUCAGAUGUGUAAAUGAGUGUCUGAAAAGGAGAAAGAUUAAUGGAAAUUAAUGGAGAACAGGACUGGAAGGGACUGUCUUAGCUGCCAUGUUUGUCCCCCUAUCAUUAGACAAGAUCUGCUGUGUCUCAUGUGAAUCUCUUAGUGAAUUUUAAUGAAGAUUUUUUAUUUUGGUUGAUUUUGAUUUUCUGCUUUUUCUAUGGAUUGUUUUUGUGGCAAAUGCAAGUUUAUAAUGUAAUUUACUUUCUCAUUUGAAAAGUCAGCUCCCAUAUGAAUCUGGUUCUACCCUCUUUGGUUUGGCAAUGCUAGAAGCUGGUGUGUACUCUGGUGUAUUAAAAUUGCUAGCCAGGAAGAGUAACAGGGGCGUGGAACAGAUGAAUCCACCUCAUAGCUUUAUUUCCACAAAUAAUUUAAGAAAAUAAAUACUACUUAUUUCAAUUGGCUUUUUUCAUGGUAGAACUAACUUCAACUUACACAAAAUAUUAUUUGCACUUAUUUAAAAAUAGAUGUGUGUUAAUUCUCACCUCAGAAUUUUACAGAGAUAUUUAC
Falco peregrinus (peregrine falcon) is the source of this 3956-nucleotide long non-coding RNA. RefSeq lists it as uncharacterized. Lineage: Eukaryota; Metazoa; Chordata; Aves; Falconiformes; Falconidae. The transcript has 3 exons. The record is from RefSeq and is a predicted model, not a curated record.